AUUUAAAUAGCUUAUAUAGAGUAUAAUAUUGAAGAUAUUAAGGAGAUAUAUUUAUCUUUAAAUA
RNAcentral lists this transfer RNA (64 nucleotides) under Syntypistis chambae. RNAcentral's name for it is "tRNA-Phe". The record is from RNAcentral. Lineage: Eukaryota; Metazoa; Arthropoda; Insecta; Lepidoptera; Notodontidae.